Dendrobium catenatum is the source of this 1475-nucleotide long non-coding RNA. RefSeq lists it as uncharacterized. The record is from RefSeq and is a predicted model, not a curated record. NCBI's taxonomy places the organism in Eukaryota, Viridiplantae, Streptophyta, Magnoliopsida, Asparagales, Orchidaceae. The transcript is spliced from 4 exons.
UUUGUAAUUGUUUUUCCUUUUAUUAAUGUUAUAUGCAUCCCUUAAAAAAAAAAAAAAAAAAAACAUUAUGGGCAUCAACUAACGUAGAUUUUUUUACUAAGAACAUCUCCAACCAAAAAACUUAUUUUCUGCUCUAAAAUACAGUAAUAUUUCAAAAUGCAGUAAUUUGUCUCCAUCGGAACUCUAUUUCUUGACACGAAAAAGAAUAUUCCAUGUAUAUUCUUUCUCAAGCACAAGCGCUAGCCUUUCUCCCCUCUGCUUUCUCUGUUUCCACCAAAAAUGAGUUUGUGAAUAGUGCGAUCGGCAUUGCAAUUGUUCACAAAUGAUAGAAUGACAUGCCUUUUGCCAUUUGAUUGGAGAAAUUUGUGGAGGCCAAUCAGGGACAUGGAGUUCGGUUAGAGAUGCACUUAACUACUGCCCUUUGGAGUUCGAAACUUUUUUUUUUUUGGGUGAGGAGCAAUGAGAACCGUAGCUCAAUAAAAUUAAAUAAUAACAUCAGUUACACUGUGGGGUUACCAAAGGUAAAAAACAAUUGAUCUUGUAGCUCUGGAAAAAAAAAAAACACCAUGAAAUGUCAAAUAGCAGUAAGGGAUCUAACAAUAAGCCCGAUUGCCAUAAGUAUAUGUUAGGUUGGAAGUACAGAGGGCUUGACACCAACCAGAGAAAGGGAUCUCUACCAACAUCGUAGAAAGUGAACCUGCAGCCACUGCGUUGAAUGCAUAUAUCAUCAUCCAACCACCAAGUAUAGAGCACCACGGCGUGUAAGGCAACACCAGGUGACCAAUUCCCCAAGGCAAAAGGUGAAGUAUACUUCAGGAAAGUAAAGCCCGCAAAAUAAGUCCCACCAAGAAGUCCACUGAGUAAAGUAACAAGGCGAGAGAUUGAGGCAAAUUGAAAAGAAUCCACUGAGCAUCUUGAACCCUGAAGGGAUUGACCGGUCCACAAAUGUUGAAGCUGCUUGAAGUUCCCAGUGGGAAGGAAGUUAGUUUCUAUCCAUUAGGGAGAAUUCCUCCGAUACAAGAAGUUUUCUCAUCCUGACGGAUAUCAUGCGAAACACCCUCUUCAUGAGUGUAGGAGGCUGUUGUACCUCAAUUGAUGACGAGACAUCGUGAUAAGGAUAUUCUCAAGCUGGUGCUCCUUGACAUGCUUCGGGUUUUGAGAUUGUUGUUAGCAGGUCACCUCAUCUGCAGACUUCCUUUUGUCUAGAUACAAAGUAUAAAAUGUAACAGAAGAGAGCGCAAUAUGCAGUUCUGCACUGCUGGUAUGGCUUAUGACUCACUUUAUUGGUGAACUUAUAACUUUCUGGUUCACUACUUUGAAGUAUUUCUAGUAGCAGAUCUAUAACUUUUCAUGUUUUGCUGUUCAUGAUGUUUUGGGAAAUCUUUGUACAGAUGCAAUUGCCAUGUAGCCGAGAAUAUAGAAAUUGCUGUUGAUUUGGAAUUAUUUACAAAUCUAAAUAAACUUUUGUUUGGAAA